UACAGAGGGUGCAAGCGUUAAUCGGAUUUAUUGGGCGUAAAGGGUGCGUAGGUGGUAAAGCAAGUAAGAUGUGAAAGCCCCGGGCUUAACCUGGGAAGUGCAUCUUAAACUGCUUAACUAGAGUAUGGUAGAGGGUAGUGGAAUUUCCGGUGUAGCGGUGAAAUGCGUAGAUAUCGGAAGGAACGCCAGUGGUGAAGACGACUACCUGGACCAAUACUGACACUGAGGCACGAAAGCGUGGGGAUCAAACAGG
This 253-nucleotide ribosomal RNA is filed under the name uncultured bacterium. Its description in RNAcentral is "partial 16S ribosomal RNA". It matches the Rfam family "Bacterial small subunit ribosomal RNA", at positions 524 to 776 of the family's 1533-position model. The record is from RNAcentral.